Molecule: non-coding RNA, 75 nt
Organism: Myotis brandtii (Brandt's bat)
Lineage: Eukaryota; Metazoa; Chordata; Mammalia; Chiroptera; Vespertilionidae
Source: Rfam
GAUGGUUCACGGGUGACGCACGCUGGAAUCGGGCUCCCUCUUCUCUGGUUCCAGGUGCAUUACCAGAGAAACGCA